UACGUAGGGGGCUAGCGUUGUCCGGAAUCAUUGGGCGUAAAGAGCGUGUAGGCGGCCCGGUAAGUCCGCUGUAAAAGUCAAAGGCUCAACCUUUGAAUGUCAGUGGAUACUGCCGGGCUAGAGUCCGGAAGAGGCGAGUGGAACUCCUGGUGUAGCGGUGAAAUGCGUAGAUAUCGAGAGGAACACCUGCGGCGAAGGCGGGUAGCUGGGCCGACACUGACGCUGAGGCGCGAAAGCCAGGGGAGCGAACGGG
RNAcentral lists this ribosomal RNA (253 nucleotides) under uncultured bacterium. Its description in RNAcentral is "partial 16S ribosomal RNA". It matches the Rfam family "Bacterial small subunit ribosomal RNA", at positions 524 to 776 of the family's 1533-position model. The record is from RNAcentral.